AGCAGGGCAUGGGUGAGGGUGUGAUGAAGCUCUUCCAUCACUGCCACAGGAAGGAUGAGUAUUUGGUUAAACCUGUCAGAUUUUUUGUUUGUUUGUUUGUUUUAGGGCCUCACCCUUGGCAUAUAGAAGUUCCUUGGCUAGAGGUCGAAUCAGAGCUACACCUGCCUGCCUGUGUCACAGCCACAGCAACACAAGAUUCAAGCCAUGUCUGCAACCUACACCACAGCUCAGGGCAACGCUGGAUCCUUAAGCCACUGAGCGAGGCCAGGGAUCUAACCUGCAACCUCAUGGUUCCUAGUCAGAUUCAUUUCCACUGCACCACAAUGGGAACUCCAAACCUGACAGUUUUAUUCAAGCACUGGUAAUUAUCUUUUGUGAAAGUUAGUGAUGAUGUGCUUUCAAAAUUGAGCUUGAUUGUGCUGCACAUGGCAGCAACCAGUUGUGGUAUUUCCUCUCAGUUUCCCAAGGUUUACUGUGGGGGGAAGAUAGCUUGUCUUCCUAUUUAAUUAACUUAAUCCAGCAGAGUGGCUUGUGUCCCUGUGCCCCAAAGCAAAGGCUGUGAAAAGAGAAGGCAUCAUGUCUGUUUCCUCUGGGACAUCCUCUUCCUCAUGUGACACAGGUGCUUGUAAGCAUCUGCUUGGCUCCAUGCUCCUAGGGGACAGACAGGUAUUAGUUUUGCUCAUGUCACAUAAUUGUCAAAUACUAUUGCUGCUCCUAUGAAACCAUCAAUAUUUAGGUAAUAACAGAUACUAAAUUUUUUCUUUACUAUAAUGAAUGAAGGAAACUCAUUUUUAAUUCAGAUUUUAAAAUGCUUUUGCUUUGAAGGCACAGAAAAAUAAAAUAGAUAAGAAAUUUUGCAGAGUUUGAAUAAAGACUCAAUUGUAAUGAUCUAAAAACAGAUACUGGUUUAAUUUCUAAUUGCUUUUUAGCAAUAAUUGGUUAAGAUGACCCCCUCCCUGCCUUUUUUCUUUUACCAUGGACACCACUUUUUCUGUUUUUAAAGUUUUAUAUGGAAAACUUCUGUGAUAUAUUUUUUUCCUUAAAGAAUCUAUUGUUUUCCAUAUCUUAGUACCUUUUUUACUAUAAGUAAGAGAAGGCUGAUGACCUAAAUUAAAUUUAAAAACAUUUACUUUGUAUUUUUUUAUACUGUUUGGAUUUGGAUUGCCAAAGAUAAAAUGAGCCUCUAGAUCUCAUUCUACCAUUUAGCGACAAUUUCCUCCUUUCUUUUUCUUUUUAGGUCUGCACUUGUGGCAUAUGUAAGUUCCCAGGCUAGCGGUUGAAGUGGAGCUGCAGCUGCCAGCCUAUGCCACAGCCACAGCAACUAGGGAUCCAAGCCACAUCUGCAACCUACACCAUAGCUCAUGGCAAUGCUGAAUCCAUAACCCACUGAAUGAGGCCAGGGAUAGAACCCGCAUCCUCAUGGACACUAUGUUGGGUUCUUAACCCUCUGAGCCGCAACAGGAACUCCAAAGACAGUUUCAUUUUAGACAAAUAAUCAAUCAAUAAUUCAUGUUGCAGUUACUACUGUAAAAAUGGACCUAAUGGCCUAUUUUCAAGACAGAUGAUACUCUUGAAAGUAUCUAGAUAAGGAGACUGUUGGGUUGAAAUUGCCCCUUUAAAAUGCUGCCUGUUUCUUUUAAAAAUGUAAAUGUAAAUAUAACUUACUUCCAGAGAAAUUUAUUUUCCUUAUGAAGUGCUCUCCACAACAGUGGUAGAUGGUCUCUCUUCCUCAUAAAAGAAAGUUCAAAAACACAUGUUGAGGUUUGGAAAUACCUUCUCUUCAACACUGUGAGCCAGGGGAGAUUUUUCCAUUGCUUCACUUUUUCUUCUUUUACUUUAUUUUACUUUCAUAUCUGCCAGUGAUGUUUCAAAAUCAGAAGUUAACUUGGAAUUGCAGAGCUGCAAGCUUAAACGGACUUUCCAUUAAUGAGCAGGUUUAGACAUUAUUCUAUUUUGAGGACAGUCUUAAAUUAAUUUUGACUUAAACACAGAAAAUUGAUAGUUUGGAAAGAUUUGUAAUGUCAGGUGAUUUGUUUCAGUUUCAAAACCAGGAUGGAGAGAGCAGGUAUAUUAUAAUGUUAGUGAAUGUGUUAUGAAAACACUGACUUUGCCAGUAUUUCUUUAGUGCUCAGGUGGGAGCCACACUGACUGAUGGCAUCUCAUCAUUUCUUCUUGUCCUUGGCCUGUGAUACCCUGUAAUGCUCUCCAUGUGCACAUUUACAGCAGGCCCUUGCAGGUACCCCACUUGGGAGGGCUCAGGAAUGCACCAAAUAAGGGCCAGAUCCUUGCUGUCUGUUCUAGAACUCCCUGGGCAAAGAAGAGAGUUACCUGGUAACCUGCAGAGAUAAACAUAGUAACUUUCAAUUCAGUUGAUCCAGGAUUUCCAUCUAAUUGUCUUAGAAAAUUUAUCCCUAAUACAUUUUGAUUUAGAACAGAACACAAAGUUAAAUUAUUACCUAAAAUGUUCACUGUUGAGACCAUCUUUUAUUGCCAAAUUAUGUAAAUCAAAACAUAAUGUUUUUAACCUUUCAACUUUUAUACUGAUUUAAAGGACAGAUAAUCCCAUUCCCAAGCCAUAAAACUGUUCCUCAGAAACAGAAAUGGGACAUAAAAAGCCUUGGGAACUUUCCUGCUUCAAGUUGCCUCUCUGUUUUCUAGGAGACUGGAAAAUACAGUAAUUCUAGCCCACAGACAUGGUCAUGAGACUCAGUUUUCUGGUAUUAGUCUACUUGCCAAAACCUAGACCGUAUCAUACAGAACCCUCAUGCCACCCAGGCUGGGAAACCUACCUCCCAUUUCAGCCACCAGUAGGGAAGAAGGUGCUUUUGUGUUAACGGACAUAGAAUGUCUCUACUUUGCCCUUCCCCUUAAUGUGAUUUCUUGUUCCUCUCCAUGUUUUGAGUUGCUGAUGGGUUCUUGCUCUGGCAUCCUCUUUUGUCCUGGCCAUAGUGACCUGUGUGUACUCAUGGUUACUAUGUGAGCUCAGCGUCUGUGCUUCAGAAUCAUCACCUUCACAGAAAGCUUGUAUCUGAGGCUGUGCAGCAUGGUGCUGAGUAGAUGGGAGAGCAUGUUUGGCUAGGUGGCUGCAAAAAGAGACUGAAAGCACAGUCUGUUGUUAAAACGGUGAGUAGAGAUGUGGCAGAUAAAUAAUGACAUCUUUUCUCCUAGGCCUUAGACACACUUCUUAAGGUAAAC
This 3195-nucleotide long non-coding RNA is filed under the name Sus scrofa (pig). Its description in RNAcentral is "lncRNA (ENSSSCG00000063265.1)". The record is from RNAcentral. Lineage: Eukaryota; Metazoa; Chordata; Mammalia; Artiodactyla; Suidae.